UUUGGCCACUGUGGGGACACAGGAUACUGGGCUAUAGUGGGUCCGACCCACUAUAGCCCUUUGCUGCCGGUAUUGCUCCUUAUUAACAUUAAGAAACCACACGAUGAGAGACCUGAGUUCCAAAUAUCUAGAUGAAGACAUACAGUGACGGCUACUAACCUGCAUGGCUUCUCUGGCAGGUUCUGGUGGCUCCUGCAGCCGAUGACAAGGGAGACCGCUGGAGGGCUCCCCGACUGUUUAUAGGGAUAACGCCCAGUCCCCACACAUCACAGAGGGCAAAUCUCUAUGUCUGCGUAUGAGCUAGGAUUUAUUACAGGUGUCGGCAGAGGUUUGCAGCCCAAGGCUCAGACUUCAGCCGACUCUCCCGAGCUGUCCAAGCUCCGUUGGGUCAGCGGCUGGACUGGAGAUAUCUGAAACCUCGCAAAUGAUUAAAUGUGUUUUCAUUGCGCUGGCCCUGGCACCGCGUGCGCUUUCCCAGCUGCAGCUGGUGGCCUCCGGCCCAAAGCUGGGGAAGGUCUCCGAGCCCCUCACACUGAAGUGCGCUGUCUCCGGGGUCUCCAUCAAUACUCAGUAUUACUACUGGUACUGGCUCCGUCAGCCUCCCGGAGAAGGGCUGGAGUCCAUGGGAUAUGUUUAUCCGUAUGACGGGCGCACGAGCUACAGCCCGUCUCUCCGAGGCCGGAUCAUCAUCUCUGCAGACGCUGCCAAGAACCAGGUUUCCCUGACGCUUCGCUCCCUGACAGCUGCGGACACCGCCACCUAUUACUGCGCCUGGAGAGACACAGUGACACGGAGACAGGGGGCCUGGGACAAAAAGGGGGCGAGCCACACGCUUCGCCUCCCAGAGAGAAGGCACCUGACUUUGCCCGUGCGGUCCGCUCCCUUCUGAGGUCACUUUCAGUUGAAGGAGACGCUUUGGCAGAGGCGCCCACGAAGCUGGAGAGAAGGAGAGAAAGAGGAAACACCUGCGCUUGCGAAUGGGCAGGAGAGAGACUUUGUUACAGGGAUUUUGCACUUUUGGAAACCACCAAUCCGGACCUGAGGUUACAACAGACUGUCCUGUCUGCUCCGCAGCUGAACUGGGGAGCUGAGGGUCUGGGGGGACCUCUGAAAAAUGACUGGUAUUUCCUGGCUGCCCUAGCCUUGGCCUAUGGGAGGGUCUGUCUGUGGGUGAGUUUUUCCUGGAAGGGUAGAAAAUUUGUGGGUGGGUGUGUUUUCCUCCACGAGUAAAUCCAUUUAAGCUGCUGACACCUACAGUGCUUUACUCUAGAAUGUCUCCUGAUUUACACUCCUGGAGGAGUGAGAGGGGAAUCAGCCUAACUCAGGGGUUCUCACACAUCAUUGCACCACGACGCCCUUCUGACAAGAAAAAUUACUACAGGACCCCAGGACAGGGAAUCGAAGCCUGAGCCCACCCAAACUCAGCUGUCCCGGUGUGUGUGGGGGCCAAACCCCGAGCCCCACCGCUCUGCGCAGGAGUCCAAAGGCUUCAGCCCCAGGCGGGAGGUCUGUAAGCCUGGGGACUCACCACCCAGGGCUGAAGCUCUUGGGGUUUGACUUUGGCCCCCGGCGGUGGAGCUUGGGUUUUGGCCCCAGCAAGUCUAACACCAGCCCUGAUGCUCCCAUUAAAACACGGUCCCAACCCACAGUUUGAGAGCUGCUGCCCUAAAAUGAGUGACUGGAGAAUUAGCCCUGACAAGACAAUGGAGUUUCCAUUGAGAGUCAGUCGCAUCGACCCCAGUGGAAUUACUCCUGCUUUACACUGAGGUGCUGGCAGGGCUGAUCCUCCACUCUGGCACUUCGAGUGCAGAAGGUGGGGGCAGCAAGGACUUCAAAAAUUAAAACUUGCCACUCCAGGCUGGUAAUGCUGCCAAGUGAAAAUUGCCUUUUGCCAAUCCAGAAAAACCUCACUUGGGGAGAUUUUUUUCUGAGGCCCUUCAACUUUUCCACCCCUCCCUGGGGCAGCCCAGAACGAAAACAAUAGAAAAGGGGAACCCAGCUGUUGUAUCAGCUGAUUAACAUAUGUACAGCCUCUUUACCCCCUCAGACACAGAAAUCUAAUCAUGUUCUUAAAAAGGGUGCAUUUUAUUGAAAAAAGAAAGAAAACACAUCUGAAAACUCAGGUUGUUAGGGAUUAAACAC
Dermochelys coriacea (leatherback sea turtle) is the source of this 2142-nucleotide non-coding RNA. NCBI's taxonomy places the organism in Eukaryota, Metazoa, Chordata, Testudines, Dermochelyidae. The record is from the annotation of a RefSeq genome assembly.